This 82-nucleotide transfer RNA is filed under the name Cerataphis brasiliensis yeast-like symbiont. RNAcentral's name for it is "tRNA-Leu (AAG) (tRNA-Leu-AAG-2-1)". It matches the Rfam family "tRNA". Rfam says of the family: Transfer RNA (tRNA) molecules are approximately 80 nucleotides in length. Their secondary structure includes four short double-helical elements and three loops (D, anti-codon, and T loops). The record is from RNAcentral. Lineage: Eukaryota; Fungi; Ascomycota.
GGCAAGAUGGCCGAGUUGGUUAUGGCGCCAGGUUAAGGUUCUGGUGGAGCAAUCCUCCUGGGUUCGAGUCCCAGUCUUGUCA